RNAcentral lists this ribosomal RNA (364 nucleotides) under Blastocystis sp. subtype 3. Its description in RNAcentral is "SSU rRNA". It matches the Rfam family "Eukaryotic small subunit ribosomal RNA", at positions 608 to 977 of the family's 1831-position model. The record is from RNAcentral. Lineage: Eukaryota; Bigyra; Opalinata; Blastocystidae.
UCGUUGUUGCAGUUAAAAAGCUCGUAGUUGAAAUGAAGGGUAGUUGUGUAAUGAAUACAUUCGUGUAUUUUGUUAUUCUACUACCCUCCUUCUAAAUUCGAUAUAUGAGUAUUAAUUUACUUGUAUAUGGUUUUAGACCUUUACUGUGAGAAAAUUAGAGUGUUCAAAGCAGGCAUUUGCUUGAAUAUAUUAGCAUGGAAUAAUCAUGUAUGAUUUUCAUGAUGUAUUUGAUUGGUUUGGUUCAUGAGAAUAAGAUUAAAAGGGACAGUUGGGGGUAUUCAUAUUCAAUAGUCAGAGGUGAAAUUCUCGGAUUUAUGGAAGAUGAACAAGUGCGAAAGCAUUUACCAAGGAUGUUUUCAUUAAU